AGAGUUUGAUCCUGGCUCAGAACGAACGCUGGCGGCAUGCCUAACACAUGCAAGUCGAACGAAGCCUUCGGGCUUAGUGGCGCACGGGUGCGUAACGCGUGGGAAUCUGCCCUUGGGUACGGAAUAACAGUGAGAAAUUACUGCUAAUACCGUAUGAUGUCUUCGGACCAAAGAUUUAUCGCCCAGGGAUGAGCCCGCGUAGGAUUAGCUAGUUGGUGAGGUAAAGGCUCACCAAGGCUACGAUCCUUAGCUGGUCUGAGAGGAUGAUCAGCCACACUGGGACUGAGACACGGCCCAGACUCCUACGGGAGGCAGCAGUGGGGAAUAUUGGACAAUGGGCGAAAGCCUGAUCCAGCAAUGCCGCGUGAGUGAAGAAGGCCUUCGGGUUGUAAAGCUCUUUUACCCGGGAAGAUAAUGACCGUACCGGGAGAAUAAGCCCCGGCUAACUCCGUGCCAGCAGCCGCGGUAAUACGGAGGGGGCUAGCGUUGUUCGGAAUCACUGNGCGUAAAGCGUGCGUAGGCGGCCAUUCAAGUCAGAGGUGAAAUCCCAGGG
RNAcentral lists this ribosomal RNA (553 nucleotides) under uncultured freshwater bacterium. RNAcentral's name for it is "bacterial SSU rRNA". It matches the Rfam family "Bacterial small subunit ribosomal RNA", at positions 8 to 607 of the family's 1533-position model. The record is from RNAcentral.